UUUUCUUCCAUUUCAACUACAAAUCCUUGUACAAUAUGAACUAUCAUCCAAGAUUCUAGUCUCCAUUCUAGCAGCUAUAAUAUAAGAUUCAUUAAGUAUUAUUGGAUAUAUAGCAAAGUUUUAUAUCAAGAAAUUUUACUCUACUUCCACAUCUUCAAUCCUAUUCUUUAUAGCUGAACAAGCUCUAUAUAAAUCAUCUUUUUGGUUGUUAGCAACUCUAAUUAUUCAACCAUAUUUGAUAUCAAUAAGUCACUUAUUCUUCUUAUAUACAUGCCUUAACAUGAUAUUGAUUUCAGAUCU
Molecule: long non-coding RNA, 300 nt
Filed under: Physcomitrium patens
Lineage: Eukaryota; Viridiplantae; Streptophyta; Bryopsida; Funariales; Funariaceae
Description: long non-coding RNA (PPAT_LNC014303)
Source: RNAcentral